CAGGUAUAUUAGGAGAUAAACAAACCAGAAAACAGGGACUGGUUGCAGAAAAAUAGCUGGGAUGUAAUCCCCUUAGUGUGCGAGUACAUUACAGUACAAAUAGAGGAAACCGGUCCACACCUUGUACAGUGCUGUCAGGAGUUGUUAGUAAUAGCUGCUAGUAUUGGAGUAGCUAAAGAGAACCUCAUAGCUAUUCUUGAACAGAUCGAUGGAUUCAGGUCUGUUUUAUUGGUCAGACGCGUUCUUCCUGCUCUUGGUAUUAUUUUACUGAAAAUCAAGGAAAA
Molecule: long non-coding RNA, 284 nt
Organism: Eurytemora carolleeae
Lineage: Eukaryota; Metazoa; Arthropoda; Copepoda; Calanoida; Temoridae
Exons: 4
Source: RefSeq, a predicted model, not a curated record